Molecule: ribosomal RNA, 263 nt
Filed under: uncultured bacterium
Lineage: Bacteria
Description: partial 16S ribosomal RNA
Rfam family: Bacterial small subunit ribosomal RNA
Source: RNAcentral
CCGGCGCACGGGUGAGUAACACGUAUGGAACCUGCCCUAUGCAGGGGGAUAAGCGGAAGAAAUUCCGUCUAAUACCGCAUAACACCUUUAGGAGACAUCUUCUUGGGGUCAAAGGAGGCGACUCCGGCAUAGGAUGGCCAUGCGUCGCAUUAGCUAGUCGGCGGGGUGACGGCCCACCGAGGCGACGAUGCGUAGGGGUUCUGAGAGGAAGGUCCCCCACACUGGUACUGAGACACGGACCAGACUCCUACGGGAGGCAGCAG